RNAcentral lists this long non-coding RNA (180 nucleotides) under Felis catus (domestic cat). Its description in RNAcentral is "lncRNA (ENSFCAG00000046925.1)". Lineage: Eukaryota; Metazoa; Chordata; Mammalia; Carnivora; Felidae. The record is from RNAcentral.
UAUCACAUUUUCUGUAUUAUUCCAGAUUUUUUCAUAAAGAGAUUUUCUCACCACUGAGUUAAAAAGGAUUUACUUUUUAUGCUCAGAUCUUCAAUCAAAUGGCAUUCACUAUGGAUUAUGGUGACAUCUAUAUGGUGUUGAGUUCUAUUAAAGAAUACAGUAUGUCUUGGUGUGCCAGAC